Erythranthe guttata (spotted monkey flower) is the source of this 487-nucleotide non-coding RNA. Lineage: Eukaryota; Viridiplantae; Streptophyta; Magnoliopsida; Lamiales; Phrymaceae. The record is from RefSeq and is a predicted model, not a curated record.
AACACACGAUCUAAGAAGUAUAAAACAUAAAAAUUAUGAAUAGCAAUCCGACGACGGCGGCGACGACGGCUGGUGCGGCGCUGCAGCUGCAAGAGGGAAUCAAUUUAUUGCUUUCUCGGUGGACUGCACUUCGGCCGUCGAGAACGAGUGGGGCGGCCACGGAUCUCUCCUGAAAUCGCAGCAACUCGGCGACGAUAUUUUUUGUCUUCUCACUCAGUCCAAAGAGGAAGUAUCUAUUUGCCAUGUGGACGACAUGCUUUACAAUUUCAUGGAUACUCUCAAUACUGAUAUAGACGGUGGCAGCAUCGAAGAGAUAAAUUGAUGGUAAUGCGUGAAGAAUGUUCAGAAGGUAACUUUGGCUCGAUAAGGAGUUUGUGGGAAACAUAUACUCCUAAUCUUUCUGUUGGGAAUCAGACACGUGUACGCAUCGGAAAAUAAAAAUUUUAUGCGAUUUAAACAACUUUAAUACACAUAAACACAUGCCCGA